AUUGAACGCUGGCGGCAGGCCUAACACAUGCAAGUCGAACGAGUGGCGGACGGGUGAGUAAUAUCUGGGAAACUGCCUGAUGGCGGGGGAUAACAACUUGAAACGGUAGCUAAUACCGCAUACCAUCGGAUGUGCCCAAAUGGGGUUAGCUAGUGGGUGGGGUAAAGGCUCACCAAGGCGCCGAUCCCCAGCUGGUCUGAGAGGAUGACCAGCCACACUGGAACUGAGACACGGUCCAGACUCCUACGGGAGGCAGCAGUGGGGAAUAUUGCACAAUGGGCGAAAGCCUGAUGCAGCCAUGCCGCGUGUAUGAAGAAGGCCUUCGGGUUGUAAAGUACUUUCAGCGGGGAGGCGUUACCCGCAGAAGAAGCACCGGCUAACUCCGUGCCAGCAGCCGCGGUAAUUC
This 406-nucleotide ribosomal RNA is filed under the name uncultured bacterium. Its description in RNAcentral is "partial 16S ribosomal RNA". It matches the Rfam family "Bacterial small subunit ribosomal RNA", at positions 30 to 526 of the family's 1533-position model. The record is from RNAcentral.